This 484-nucleotide ribosomal RNA is filed under the name uncultured bacterium. RNAcentral's name for it is "partial 16S ribosomal RNA". It matches the Rfam family "Bacterial small subunit ribosomal RNA", at positions 30 to 507 of the family's 1533-position model. The record is from RNAcentral.
AUUGAACGCUGGCGGCAGGCCUAACACAUGCAAGUCGAGCGGAUGAAGGGGGCUUGCUCCUGGAUUCAGCGGCGGACGGGUGAGUAAUGCCUAGGAAUCUGCCUUGUAGUGGGGGAUAACGUCCUGAAACGGGCGCUAAUACCGCAUACGUCCUGAUGGAGAAAGUGGGGGAUCUUCGGACCUCACGCUAUCAGAUGAGCCUAGGUCGGAUUAGCUAGUUGGUGGGGUAAAGGCCUACCAAGGCGACGAUCGGUAACUGGUAUGAGAGGAUGAUCAGUCACACUGGAAGUGAGACAGGGUCCAGACUCCUACGGGAGGAAGCAGUCGGGAAUAUUGGACAAUGGGGGAAAGCCUGAUCCAGCCAUGCCGCGUGUGUGAAGAAGGUCUUAGGAUUGUAAAGCACUUUAAGUUGGGAGGAAGGGAAGUAAGUUAAUACCUUGCUGUUUUGACGUUACCAACAGAAUAAGCACCGGCUAACUUCGUG